AUUGAACGCUGGCGGCAGGCCUAACACAUGCAAGUCGCAAGAGUGGCGGACGGGUGAGUAAUGUCUGGGAAACUGCCUGAUGGAGGGGGAUAACUACUGGAAACGGUAGCUAAUACCGCAUACCAUCGGAUGUGCCCAGAUGGGAUUAGCUAGUAGGUGGGGUAAAGGCUCACCUAGACGACGAUCCCUAGCUGGUAGGAGAGGAUGACCAGCCACACUGGAACUGAGACAUGUUCCAGAGUCCUACGGGAGGCAGCAGUGGGGAGUAUUGCACAAUGGGCGCAGUCCUGAUGCAGCUAUGCCGCGUGUAUGAAGAAGGCCUUCGGGUUGUAAAGUACUUUCAGCGGGGAGGCGUUACCCGCAGAAGAAGCACCGGCUAACUCCGUGCCAGCCGCCGCGGUAAUUC
RNAcentral lists this ribosomal RNA (406 nucleotides) under uncultured bacterium. Its description in RNAcentral is "partial 16S ribosomal RNA". It matches the Rfam family "Bacterial small subunit ribosomal RNA", at positions 30 to 526 of the family's 1533-position model. The record is from RNAcentral.